CAGAGGAAGGAGUUUGGAGGCAAUGAACGCCCUUCGGGGUCUCUGUGAAGGUGCUGCAUGGUUGUCGUCAGCUCGUGCCGUGAGGUGUCGGCUUAAGUGCCAUAACGAGCGCAACCCCUCUCCUUAGUUGCCAUCAGGUCAAGCUGGGCACUCUGGGGACACUGCCACCGUAAGGUGUGA
RNAcentral lists this ribosomal RNA (180 nucleotides) under uncultured bacterium. RNAcentral's name for it is "partial 16S ribosomal RNA". It matches the Rfam family "Bacterial small subunit ribosomal RNA", at positions 989 to 1167 of the family's 1533-position model. The record is from RNAcentral.